GAUCCUGGCUCAGGACGAACGCUGGCGGCGCGCCUAACACAUGCAAGUCGAACGGAGAUAAUAGGGAGCUUGCUCCCUGUUAUCUGAGUGGCGGACGGGUGAGUAACGCGUGAGUAACCUGCCUUAAAGAGUGGGGAUAACGUCUGGAAACGGACGCUAAUACCGCAUGACAUAUCACUGCGGCAUCGCAGUGAUAUCAAAGGAGGAAUCCGUCUUUAAGAUGGACUCGCGUCC
Molecule: ribosomal RNA, 234 nt
Filed under: uncultured bacterium
Lineage: Bacteria
Description: partial 16S ribosomal RNA
Rfam family: Bacterial small subunit ribosomal RNA
Source: RNAcentral